AACGAACGCUGGCGGCGCGCCUAACACAUGCAAGUCGAACGCGAAAUUGUAGCAAUACAAGAGUAAAGUGGCGCACGGGUGAGUAACGCGUAGGUGAUCUACCUUUGUGAUCGGGAUAACCAGCCGAAAGGUUGGCUAAUACUGGAUAGAGCGCAGUUACCGUAAAGGUGAAUGCGGGAAAUGAGGGCGUAGGCACUGAGUGUUUAAGCUAACGAGGGGGGUUAGGUUGAACAUUGAGUGCUUACGCUCUUGCACUGAGAUGAGCCUGCGUCUCAUUAGCUAGUUGGUAGGGUAAAGGCCUACCAAGGCAUUGAUGGGUAGCUGGUCUGAGAGGACGAUCAGCCACACUGGAACUGAAACACGGUCCAGACUCCUACGGGAGGCAGCAGUGGGGAAUCUUGCGCAAUGGACGAAAGUCUGACGCAGCGACGCCGCGU
Molecule: ribosomal RNA, 437 nt
Filed under: uncultured bacterium
Lineage: Bacteria
Description: bacterial SSU rRNA
Rfam family: Bacterial small subunit ribosomal RNA
Source: RNAcentral